CAAUAUCGCUGCCCCUUGGCUCUAAACUGCUGAUGUUAACAACACUCAGGGCGCCUUGUGUGCCCACGACAGGUAUACCCAGAUCCGGAGCAUUUCCCUUCCUUUCUUCUCUCUUUCAAAUGUCUAUCUUCCCCCUUCCAAAGUGCACUGAUUGCUCAGCACGGAGGCCAGCAAGCAACCACCACCGGCGAGCCUCAUCUGACCUGCUGCCGUGUAUAGCUGCCUAAAAGGAUGUGGAGAAAUUGGAACCCUUUACACUAUCGGCGGGGAUGCAAAAUGGGGCAGCUGCUGUAGAAAAAGCUGCCGGGACCAUGGAGAUCGUGUACGUGUACGUCAAGAAGCGAAGCGAGUUCGGGAAACAAUGCAACUUCUCCGACCGCCAGGCGGAGCUGAACAUCGACAUCCCGCCCAACCCCGAGCUGGCCGAGCAGUUUGUGGAG
This is a non-coding RNA of Leptonychotes weddellii (Weddell seal), 440 nucleotides long. The record is from RefSeq and is a predicted model, not a curated record. NCBI's taxonomy places the organism in Eukaryota, Metazoa, Chordata, Mammalia, Carnivora, Phocidae.